GUUAAAAUGAAGUACAAUAUCUUGAAUUUGUAAUCAGCCAAAAAUCCAAAAUGGCAGCCUCUUAGUGUGUUUGUUGUAUGAUAGAAUUAGUCUGCUACGCCUACAACUUUACGCCGUUCACGUUUCUUCACACAUAUUCGUACAGUGAAAAUGGCUGAUCCUGGAGAUCGAAAGACGAAAAAGUCUUUUGUUUCACAAAGGCAGAUGAGAAACAGAAUUAAUGCAAGAUUGGAGGAUUACGUGAGAGAUUUUUCUGACAGCAACCUUCAGGAAGGCAUCCCAAGUGAGAUGCAGCAGAUAGUACAUAAACCUCCAACAAACGCUGCAGCUGAGCAAUUGGUCACUGCUUAUUAUGUCAAUCCGAUUUCACCAAAUAAUUUACCUGCUCCCUCUUGUGAGCCUGUACGCAAUGAAAGUAGUGACUCUGAGCAAGCUCAUGAACAAAUCGUCCCUGAAAGUUAUGAUGAAAACAGCUUUGAUGAUGAAGAAUCACAAACUAUCGAAUCAUCUGAUGAUUCAGAUGAUUGUUACGACUACUCUGAGAUUGACUGGAGUUUAUAUUCAAGAACAGUUUGGCUGAAUGGGUCGUCACAUCAAGAGUCUCUCGAGUUCAUGUGAACAGCUUAUUGAAGAUUUUGAAGAACAAAGCACUACUAGACUACUUACCACUCGAUACAAGAACGCUACUUAAGACAUCACGAGGGCAAUACAUGGAUAGUCCCUUGUUUGUACGGCAAUCAGAAAUUAAUUUAUUCAAAUCAGUACCCAUAAAUGAAUCGACUAUUGUUGUCCAUCCAUCUCGGAUACACAAAAUUUGUGAUUUAUAUCCUAG
This 832-nucleotide unclassified non-coding RNA is filed under the name Daphnia magna. RNAcentral's name for it is "uncharacterized LOC116935868, transcript variant X1". The record is from RNAcentral. Lineage: Eukaryota; Metazoa; Arthropoda; Branchiopoda; Diplostraca; Daphniidae.